RNAcentral lists this ribosomal RNA (585 nucleotides) under uncultured bacterium. RNAcentral's name for it is "bacterial SSU rRNA". It matches the Rfam family "Bacterial small subunit ribosomal RNA", at positions 338 to 916 of the family's 1533-position model. The record is from RNAcentral.
CCUACGGGAGGCAGCAGUGGGGAAUUUUGGACAAUGGGCGCAAGCCUGAUCCAGCCAUGCCGCGUGUGGGAAGAAGGCCUUCGGGUUGUAAACCACUUUUGUCAGGGAAGAAACGGCUUUUUCUAAUACAGAGAGCUAAUGACGGUACCUGAAGAAUAAGCACCGGCUAACUACGUGCCAGCAGCCGCGGUAAUACGUAGGGUGCAAGCGUUAAUCGGAAUUACUGGGCGUAAAGCGUGCGCAGGCGGCUUUGCAAGACAGAUGUGAAAUCCCCGGGCUCAACCUGGGAACUGCAUUUGUGACUGCAUGGCUAGAGUACGGUAGAGGGGGAUGGAAUUCCGCGUGUAGCAGUGAAAUGCGUAGAUAUGCGGAGGAACACCGAUGGCGAAGGCAAUCCCCUGGACCUGUACUGACGCUCAUGCACGAAAGCGUGGGGAGCAAACAGGAUUAGAUACCCUGGUAGUCCACGCCCUAAACGAUGUCAACUGGUUGUUGGACGGCUUGCUGUUCAGUAACGAAGCUAACGCGUGAAGUUGACCGCCUGGGGAGUACGGCCGCAAGGUUGAAACUCAAAUGAAUUGACGG